Molecule: ribosomal RNA, 397 nt
Filed under: uncultured bacterium
Lineage: Bacteria
Description: bacterial SSU rRNA
Rfam family: Bacterial small subunit ribosomal RNA
Source: RNAcentral
GACGAACGCUGGCGGCGUGCUUAACACAUGCAAGUCGAGCGGUAAGGCCCUUUCGGGGGUACACGAACGGCGAACGGGUGAGUAACACGUGGGUGACCUGCCUUUAGCUCUGGGAUAAGCCUGGGAAACUGGGUCUAAUACCGGAUACGACUCCGCGGUGCAUGCUGUGGGGUGGAAAGCCUUGUGCGGCUGGAGAUGGGCCCGCGGCCUAUCAGCUUGUUGGUGGGGUGAUGGCCUACCAAGGCGACGACGGGUAGCCGGCCUGAGAGGGCGACCGGCCACACUGGGACUGAGACACGGCCCAGACUCCUACGGGAGGCAGCAGUGGGGAAUCUUGCGCAAUGGGCGAAAGCCUGACGCAGCGACGCCGCGUGAGGGAUGACGGCCUCGGUUGUAA